Molecule: long non-coding RNA, 491 nt
Organism: Chinchilla lanigera (long-tailed chinchilla)
Lineage: Eukaryota; Metazoa; Chordata; Mammalia; Rodentia; Chinchillidae
Exons: 3
Source: RefSeq, a predicted model, not a curated record
UCUGCAGCAAGGGCGAGUUAACGAGUGUCCCUUUGUGACAUGUGGGAAAUCAGUGAGCCUCCGAUUCUUUGUCAGAUUUUUCUAAUGCAGGGUUUUCCUCCUUUCAGUAAAAAUUAGAAAACAAGAGUAAGGACCGAUCAGAACUGAUACUCUUUCCCUUUGUUAGGAGACUUACACGGCCAGUUGGACGACUUAAUGUUCGUAUUCUGUAAGGACCUCGUGCUUGCCAGAACCCAGGGGACAAGGAGAGGUGACUCUCCCCUGUCCUGCCCACUCUGCCUGACACCAGUGCUGCUUGCAAAGGAUUCCAUCAGGGACAGUGGCAGAGCUUGGAAGGAACACAUCUGAAUGCUGUCAUCACGUCCUCGGGUCCUAUCUUGUGCACCAGGUUAACUUGACAAAUUCUGUUAAAACUCCACUGACACCGAGACACACAGCAGCUAAGUAUUGAUUCCUCAGUCUAAUAACUCAUCAAAAAUAAUAUUGCAGCC